RNAcentral lists this ribosomal RNA (345 nucleotides) under uncultured eukaryote. RNAcentral describes it as "SSU rRNA". It matches the Rfam family "Eukaryotic small subunit ribosomal RNA", at positions 594 to 945 of the family's 1831-position model. The record is from RNAcentral.
AUAGCGUAUAUUAAAGUUGUUGCAGUUAAAAAGCUCGUAGUUGAAACUGGGCGCGGCUGGGCGGUCCGCCUCACGGUGUGUACUGUCUGGCUGUGUUCUCUUUCUUGGUGAGCCGGCAUGCCCUUAAUUGGGUGUGUUGGGGAACCAGGACGUUUACCUUGAGAAAAUUAGAGUGUUCAAAGCAGGCCUUUGCCCGAAUACAUUAGCAUGGCAUAAUAAAAUAGGACGUGCGGUUCUAUUUUGUUGGUUUCUAGAGUCGCCGUAAUGAUUAAUAGGGAUAGUUGGGGGCAUUAGUAUUCCGUUGCUAGAGGUGAAAUUCUUGGAUUUACGGAAGACUAACUUCUG